Molecule: ribosomal RNA, 466 nt
Filed under: uncultured bacterium
Lineage: Bacteria
Description: bacterial SSU rRNA
Rfam family: Bacterial small subunit ribosomal RNA
Source: RNAcentral
CCAGACUCCUACGGGAGGCAGCAGUGAGGAAUAUUGGUCAAUGGGCGCGAGCCUGAACCAGCCAAGUCGCGUGAGGGAGGACGGCCCUACGGGUUGUAAACCUCUUUUGCCGGGGAGCAACGGGCGUCACGUGUGGCGCCACUGAGAGUACCCGGAGAAAAAGCAUCGGCUAACUCCGUGCCAGCAGCCGCGGUAAUACGGAGGAUGCGAGCGUUAUCCGGAUUUAUUGGGUUUAAAGGGUGCGUAGGCGGGAUCGUUAAGUCAUGGCCAAAAUGGGGGGGCAACCCCCCUUCCCGCCAUUGAAACUGGCGCUCUUGAGUGGAAGAGAAGUAUGCGGAAUGCGUGGUGUAGCGGUGAAAUGCAUAGAUAUCACGCAGAACCCCGAUUGCGAAGGCAGCAUGCCGGCUUCCGACUGACGCUGAAGCACGAAAGCGUGGGGAUCGAACAGGAUUAGAUACCCUUGUAU